GUCCAGCGGUUAGGAUAUCUGGCUUUUAUCCAGGAGAUCCAGGUUCGAUUCCCGG
Non-coding RNA from Vigna angularis (adzuki bean), 55 nucleotides. The record is from Rfam. Lineage: Eukaryota; Viridiplantae; Streptophyta; Magnoliopsida; Fabales; Fabaceae.